UUGGAGGGCAAGUCUGGUGCCCGCAGCCGCGGUAAUUCCAGCUCCAAUAGCGUAUAUUAAAGUUGUUGCAGUUAAAAAGCUCGUAGUUGAAUUUCGGGACCAAUAUGUCGGUCGUGCUUCGGUACGUACUUGCAUUAUUGGUUUCUCCCUUCUGAAGAACCAUGAUGUCAUUAAUUUGGUGUCUUGGGGAAUCAGGACUGUUACUUUGAAAAAAUUAGAGUGUUUAAAGCAGGCUCACGCUUGAAUGCAUUAGCAUGGAAUAAUGAAAUAGGACGUUUGAUUCUAUUUUGUUGGUUUCUAGGAUCGACGUAAUGAUUAAUAGGGAUAGUUGGGGGCAUUAGUAUUCAAUUGUCAGAGGUGAAAUUCUUGGAUUUAUUGAAGACUAACUACUGCGAAAGCAUUUGCCAAGGAUGUUUUCAUUAAUCAAGAACGAAAGUUAGGGGAUCGAAGACGAUCAGAUACCGUCGUAGUCUUAACCAUAAACUAUGCCGACUAGGGAUCGGAUGAUGUUAUUUUUGAUGACUCAUUCGGCGCCUUACGGGAAACCAAAGUGUUUGGGUUC
Molecule: ribosomal RNA, 562 nt
Filed under: uncultured Glomeromycotina
Lineage: Eukaryota; Fungi; Glomeromycota
Description: SSU rRNA
Rfam family: Eukaryotic small subunit ribosomal RNA
Source: RNAcentral